This 206-nucleotide ribosomal RNA is filed under the name uncultured bacterium. RNAcentral describes it as "partial 16S ribosomal RNA". It matches the Rfam family "Bacterial small subunit ribosomal RNA", at positions 568 to 774 of the family's 1533-position model. The record is from RNAcentral.
AGCGUAGGCGGACAUUUAAGUCAGGGGUGAAAUCCCGGGGCUCAACCUCGGAAUUGCCUUUGAUACUGGGUGUCUUGAGUAUGAGAGAGGUGUGUGGAACUCCGAGUGUAGAGGUGAAAUUCGUAGAUAUUCGGAAGAACACCAGUGGCGAAGGCGACACACUGCUCAUUACUGACGCUGAGGCUCGAAAGCGUGGGGAGCAAACA